GCGUUGUCCGGAAUCAUUGGGCGUAAAGCGCGUGUAGGCGGUCCGGUAAGUCCGCUGUGAAAGUCGGGGGCUCAACCCUCGAAUGCCGGUGGAUACUGUCGGGCUUGAGUGCGGAAGAGGCGAGUGGAAUUCCUGGUGUAGCGGUGAAAUGCGCAGAUAUCAGGAGGAACACCAAUUGCGAAGGCAGCUCGCUGGGACGUUACUGACGCUGAGACGCGAAAGCGUG
RNAcentral lists this ribosomal RNA (226 nucleotides) under uncultured bacterium. RNAcentral's name for it is "partial 16S ribosomal RNA". It matches the Rfam family "Bacterial small subunit ribosomal RNA", at positions 538 to 763 of the family's 1533-position model. The record is from RNAcentral.